UUGACUCUGGGAUAAGCACUGGAAACGGUGUCUAAUACCGGAUACGACCUUCGGAGGCAUCUCCUGGGGGUGGAAAGAAUUUUGGUCAAGGAUGGACUCGCGGCCUAUCAGCUAGUUGGUGAGGUAAUGGCCCACCAAGGCGACGACGGGUAGCCGGCCUGAGAGGGUGACCGGCCACACUGGGACUGAGACACGGCCCAGACUC
RNAcentral lists this ribosomal RNA (205 nucleotides) under unidentified. RNAcentral's name for it is "partial 16S ribosomal RNA". It matches the Rfam family "Bacterial small subunit ribosomal RNA", at positions 132 to 338 of the family's 1533-position model. The record is from RNAcentral.